GGCAAGAUGGCCGAGCGGUCCAAGGCGCUAGCUUCAGGUGAAUUUCAUGUCAUCGUAAUUUGCUAGUCUCUUCGGGGGCGUGGGUUCGAAUCCCACUCUUGUCA
Transfer RNA from Neolentinus lepideus HHB14362 ss-1, 104 nucleotides. It matches the Rfam family "tRNA". Rfam says of the family: Transfer RNA (tRNA) molecules are approximately 80 nucleotides in length. Their secondary structure includes four short double-helical elements and three loops (D, anti-codon, and T loops). Further hydrogen bonds mediate the characteristic L-shaped molecular structure. tRNAs have two regions of fundamental functional importance: the anti-codon, which is responsible for specific mRNA codon recognition, and the 3' end, to which the tRNAs corresponding amino acid is attached (by aminoacyl-tRNA synthetases). tRNAs cope with the degeneracy of the genetic code in two manners: having more than one tRNA (with a specific anti-codon) for a particular amino acid; and 'wobble' base-pairing, i.e. permitting non-standard base-pairing at the 3rd anti-codon position. The record is from Rfam. NCBI's taxonomy places the organism in Eukaryota, Fungi, Basidiomycota, Agaricomycetes, Gloeophyllales, Gloeophyllaceae.